RNAcentral lists this unclassified non-coding RNA (412 nucleotides) under fungal sp. RNAcentral's name for it is "partial internal transcribed spacer region". The stretch from base 1 to 46 matches the Rfam family "Eukaryotic small subunit ribosomal RNA", at positions 1786 to 1831 of the family's 1831-position model. Lineage: Eukaryota; Fungi. The record is from RNAcentral.
AAGUCGUAACAAGGUUUCCGUAGGUGAACCUGCGGAAGGAUCAUUAACACGUUAUCCACGUAACACCAACCGAGGUUCGUAUAAAUUCUCCCUCUGGCCGGGAUGAACAGUCAAGCUAGUAUAUUUGGGUAAACGAGAUUGCUUCACGCGUCAGAUUUAUACUAGUCAGAUGUGAGUUUAAGCUUUUUGGUUUGAAUUCGCAUUGCUGUUGUACUCGCCCAGUUGGCUACCUCCUGGCGUUCAGCUCCUCGUUUACGAGAUGCGCGUCAGGAAACUUAUUCACUAUUAUCACCCCUUUUUUGCUAGUUGACUUUUAUAUGUUGCUUACGCUUUGCUUCGGCAAGGUGCAGGUACACGUUUGAUUAUUUGAACGUUAAAAAUACAACUCUUAGCAAUGGAUAUCUAGGUUCUC